RNAcentral lists this ribosomal RNA (253 nucleotides) under uncultured bacterium. RNAcentral's name for it is "partial 16S ribosomal RNA". It matches the Rfam family "Bacterial small subunit ribosomal RNA", at positions 524 to 776 of the family's 1533-position model. The record is from RNAcentral.
UACGUAGGGACCAAGCGUUGUUCGGAAUUACUGGGCGUAAAGGGCGCGUAGGCGGCUUUUCAAGUCGGGCGUGAAAUCUCCGGGCUUAACCCGGAAGGGUCGUUCGAUACUGUUGAGCUAGAGUGUGGAAGAGGCAACUAGAAUUCCGUGUGUAGCGGUGAAAUGCGUAGAUAUACGGAGGAAUACCUGAGGCGAAGGCGGGUUGCUGGGCCAACACUGACGCUGAAGUGCGAAAGCCAGGGGAGCAAACGGG